RNAcentral lists this unclassified non-coding RNA (528 nucleotides) under Hevea brasiliensis (rubber tree). The record is from RNAcentral. Lineage: Eukaryota; Viridiplantae; Streptophyta; Magnoliopsida; Malpighiales; Euphorbiaceae.
CGUCAAUCUGGGCAAGGUUCCUCAAGAAUACAGAGAGCACAAAGGAUUCUCGGAGUGGAAUUCGACUGUGACUCCAAGGAACCACCAACCGAUUAUCCAGAUUUUAAUCGAUGGUCGAGACGAAGGUGCAGUAGAUAUGGAAGGAAACAAGCUACCAACUCUGGUGUACAUGGCCCGAGAAAAGAGACCACAACAUCCCCAUAAUUUCAAAGCCGGGGCAAUGAAUUCCUUGAUACGAGUGUCAUCAGUGAUCAGCAAUAAUCCAAUUAUUCUAAACGUGGAUUGCGACAUGUACUCUAAUAAUUCAGAGUCAAUUAAAGAUGCAUUGUGCUUCUUUCUUGAUGAGGGGAAGGGUCAUGAGAUUGGUUUUGUACAAUUUCCUCAGAGUUUUGACAAUAUCACCAAAAAUGAUCUUUAUGCCAACUCUAUGCAUGUGAUUUAUGCGGUUGAAAUCCAUGGGAUGGAUAGCUGGGGAGGACCGUUGUACAUUGGCACCGGAUGUUUCCACAGGAGAGAGAGUUUAUGUGG